UGCAGGGAUGCCAGAGCCUGGUCUAUUGGGCAGGGCUUAGGACCCUGUGCGCGUAGGCGCUUCGUGAGUUCAAAUCUCACUCCCUGCAU
RNAcentral lists this transfer RNA (89 nucleotides) under uncultured archaeon. RNAcentral describes it as "tRNA-Leu(tag)". It matches the Rfam family "tRNA". From Rfam's summary of the family: Transfer RNA (tRNA) molecules are approximately 80 nucleotides in length. Their secondary structure includes four short double-helical elements and three loops (D, anti-codon, and T loops). Further hydrogen bonds mediate the characteristic L-shaped molecular structure. tRNAs have two regions of fundamental functional importance: the anti-codon, which is responsible for specific mRNA codon recognition, and the 3' end, to which the tRNAs corresponding amino acid is attached (by aminoacyl-tRNA synthetases). tRNAs cope with the degeneracy of the genetic code in two manners: having more than one tRNA (with a specific anti-codon) for a particular amino acid; and 'wobble' base-pairing, i.e. permitting non-standard base-pairing at the 3rd anti-codon position. The record is from RNAcentral.